This 133-nucleotide non-coding RNA is filed under the name Leptothrix ochracea L12. RNAcentral's name for it is "Bacterial large subunit ribosomal RNA". It matches the Rfam family "Bacterial large subunit ribosomal RNA", at positions 1858 to 1999 of the family's 2925-position model. The record is from Rfam by way of RNAcentral. Lineage: Bacteria; Pseudomonadati; Pseudomonadota; Betaproteobacteria; Burkholderiales; Sphaerotilaceae.
CUUGCCUGGUGCUGGAAGAUUAAAUGAUGGGGUGCAAGCUCUUGACUGAAGUCCCAGUAAACGGCGGCCGUAACUAUAACGGUCCUAAGGUAGCGAAAUUCCUUGUCGGGUAAGUUCCGACCUGCACGAAUGG